RNAcentral lists this unclassified non-coding RNA (353 nucleotides) under soil metagenome. Its description in RNAcentral is "partial contains 5.8S ribosomal RNA, internal transcribed spacer 2, and large subunit ribosomal RNA". The stretch from base 3 to 120 matches the Rfam family "5.8S ribosomal RNA", at positions 37 to 154 of the family's 154-position model. The record is from RNAcentral.
GGUGAAGAACGUAGCGAAAUGCGAUAAGUAAUGUGAAUUGCAGAAUUCAGUGGAUCAUCGAAUCUUUGAACGCACAUUGCGCCCGCCAGUAUUCUGGCGGGCAUGCCUGUUCGAGCGUCAUUACAACCCUCAGGCCCCCGGGCCUGGCGUUGGGGAUCGGCGGAAGCCCCCUGCGGGCACAACGCCGUCCCCCAAAUACAGUGGCGGUCCCGCCGCAGCUUCCAUUGCGUAGUAGCUAACACCUCGCAACUGGAGAGCGGCGCGGCCACGCCGUAAAACACCCAACUUCUGAAUGUUGACCUCGAAUCAGGUAGGAAUACCCGCUGAACUUAAGCAUAUCAAUAAGCGGAGGA